RNAcentral lists this ribosomal RNA (297 nucleotides) under uncultured eukaryote. RNAcentral's name for it is "partial large subunit ribosomal RNA". It matches the Rfam family "Eukaryotic large subunit ribosomal RNA", at positions 40 to 350 of the family's 3401-position model. The record is from RNAcentral.
AUAUAACUAAGCGGAGGAAAAUAAACUAACAAGGAUUCCCCUAGUAACGGCGAGUGAAGUGGGAAAAGCUCAGACGUGUAAUCUUCGGAAUUGUCGUCUGCAGAGGCGUGAUACAUUCUGAACAACGAACAAAAUCUCCUGGAACGGAGUGCCGCCGAGGGUGACAGCCCCGUUAAUGUUCAUUGGUCUGAAGUGUUCCGUCAUCUAAGAGUCGAGUUGUUUGGGAUUGCAGCUCUAAGUGGGUGGUAAAUUCCAUCUAAAGCUAAAUAUCGGUGGGAGACCGAUAGCGCACAAGUA